Molecule: long non-coding RNA, 6504 nt
Filed under: Equus asinus (donkey)
Lineage: Eukaryota; Metazoa; Chordata; Mammalia; Perissodactyla; Equidae
Description: lncRNA (ENSEASG00005034158.1)
Source: RNAcentral
GUCUCCUUCUCCAGCCUCCCUCCCCAAGUUUGCUAAGGGUGCUUAUUUUAACCCGGUUUUGGUUACAAACACCCCCUCCCUCCCUCGCUCGCUCUCUCCCGUCAGGCUCUGGUUACCAGAUCCGCGUUUACUUUCGAAAAAUCUAAGAUCGCCACAUCCGAGGACACAUGUCUUAAGGAGGCGAUGAGCUUUCCGGGUUUUUUUGUAAAAAAUGUUCUUUAUGUAGUUUUCUUUUAAAAGCCAGCGUUUCGGAGCAAGCCCCGGCGCCCCACUUUGGAGAAGUCGGGGUGAAGCCCCCCGGAACACCCUCGCUCUGGCAGAGAAGCUGGCUCUGGCUCGGCCAUCUGCGGGCUCCGCCGCGUCCUCCCUACUUUUCUCCCCCUCUUAAAUGCAGUUAAAAUGGCUGAAUUCCGGCUUUUAAUUAAAAACAGCCUAUAAUCGAAAACGUCUCGGCGUCCCUGGCUCCCCCGCCGCCUGCCGGGAACCGAGAAGGGAACCGACGCCCCUCGGCCCGGCUGGGAGGGCUGGAGCGGGGCUGGGAACUCAGGUGGGCGCCCGGGGCGCAGUGGCCUGCCCCCACCCCUCCCGGGGCGCCCCCAUCUCGCCGGCCCCGGUCCCCGAUUCCGUUCUCGGCGGCCGGGAAACUGCGGGGAUGCCCCGGCGCCCCCGGAGGGGGAGGCGGGAUCGGGGACGAGCUGGAGAAGUUUGGAGACCAUCGCGCCCGGCCAGGGAUGGGAGGGCGGCCCGGCGGCGUACCUGGCGCGGCGGGGCUCCCGGCUCCGGGCUCCGGCGACGGCGACUCCGGUGGCGGCCCCGGCUCCCGGCGCGGUUAGGCGCCCGUGCUGCCCGCCAUCCCGCGGCCGCUGCUCCCCUUCGCCACCCGCAGCCGCCUCACACUUUUUGCCCGCCUUUCCUUUUUUUGGUAGAAAACCGCUCCCCGGGCCGAGCGCUCGGCGCGCCAACUCCUCCGCCCUCCCGCGGCCGGGCUCCCGCAGCCCCCGGAAAAGCCAGCUUUCCUCCCGCCGAGCUCCCCGCUUUUUAAUAAAAUCCAGGUAGCGCCGGUUUAAAGAAUCCCAAAUCUCCAUAUACAGCCCGGGAUUGGAAAAGGUACAUUACACACACCCCCCUUUCAAGUUCCUCUCGCUGGAUCUAAAAAAAAAAAAAAAAAAGCCAGCGGGGGGGGGAGGGGGCGGCUGGGGGAGGGGAGUACUCUCCGGCGAUGAAACACGCAUUGUUCCCGGGCGCCCGCCUCCCCCCGGGCCGGCCCCCGGCCCCCGCCCAUUGGCCGCGCGCGCCGCCAAUCACGCGCAUGUAAACACCUUGGCCCUCAGCCAUUCCUAUAAAACCAAUUACGGACCAAGGGGCUCCAGCAGUUUCCAGGCUCCCCUCGGCGGGGCUGAAUGAUCAAAACUGGUGGUGAGAAUUUUUCCGGGCCGUUUCUAGGCAGCCCUCCCCCUCCACCAACUCGGACCCCCCCCCCCUUCCUCCUUCUCCUCCCUUUUCCUCCCCUCCUCCCCCAGCGUCUGGGCUGAGUGAUCAAAAUAGAGGAAGAUGGUUGUCGCCGCAAUCCAGGGCUUUGCAAGGCGCGGUUUAAUGGGCCGCCUGUCAGCUUCCUGCUCGCAGGAGGAGGUGACAAGCCAAGCGGGCCGGGAAGGGCCUGGGGCCCGGCGGGCUGCACCCCACGCCCGGGCCCCGGCCCCCCACCUCCCCUGGGGCGCGCCUCCUAGAACGCGCGGUGGAGACGCGAAAACAGACAAGGGCUGCUUUUUCCCUUUCUCCCCCCCCCCCCCUUUUAAAACAAAGCAGCGAUUCAUUCCCGCUUCCCGAGCAGCGCGGUUGGGUGGGACGGGCAGGCGAGAAGGCCGUUUUCCUAGUCCCGGCCUGCGGGUCCCUCCCUGAAACGCGGUGUCAGAUGGUUACUGAUUAAUAUUUUGGAGAGGCCGCGGCGGCGGGCAGCGGGUGAGUCUCUAAUCUUCUAAAAACGGUUCCUAUAGAAACGCGGGCCGGGGCGCGCCCCCAGCUCGGCCCCGGCCCGGGGCUGCGGCGCUUUGCACGGCGCGCCCCUCCCCAAAGCUCUCUUUGCGUGGGCGCUCCCCUCCCCUUCUCCCCCCCCCGCCCCAAAAAAAUCAGAGCAGAAAAAAAGGAUUAGAUCGGCUGAGCGCGAACUGACUCCCUCUCGAUUCUGACAUUUCAGCCUAUUAGCAUUUCUCCACGGGGCCUUCUGAAACCUAUUAAAGUGUAAUAUUAAAAACCUCUUGGCUGGGGGCCUCUCUCGCCUUCCAUCCGCCGCGCCCCCUCCAGGGAGGGCGAGACCGGGAAAAAAAAAAAAAAAAAAAAUCUGUUGAGCUCAGAGGCAGCAGCAGCCAAGCCCAAAAACUGCUUGGCUGGCCGCGGCGGCCGGAGGGGGAGGGGAGCCCCAAUCCCCCAGACUUUGUACUUUUAUUUUGCGCUUUCAGCAAAAUCCUUUCUGGGUUGAGUCGCCGGGAGCUGCCCGCGGCAACCUUCUUGGCUGCGGGCGCGAGGAGUGCGGAUGCGGUCAGAGGGACCGCCCUGGGGGCCCCGCACCCCUCUCUCUGCAGCCCCGCAGGGCCCCGUGCCCGGCUAGGCAUUACGUACCCUCAAAAGGAAGCUUGGCGGGGCAGAAAUCCUUGCCGAUCCUGCCUCGGAGAGCAACCGCGGUGAUUAGGUUUUAAUUAAAACAAGAGAAGCCCGCUCUUUCGCCCCACGAUGCGGACUCAGCGUUUUCGCAUCGCUCGUUCUAUUUUGUUUUUUUUUUUUAAUCCAUUUUUAAGGCAACUUUUCUGGAGGGGGAAAAAAAUGAGCUAGUUAGCGCCCAUUCGUUCUAUUUUUCCUUCCUCCACUUUUAGAAAAAGGGGGGUAGGCUUCCAGAGUGAACUGGGGGUGUCUAAUUUAAUUCCAGUAUAAAUUUGAGGGGGGAAAAAAAGUUCAGCCUCUUGAGGGCAGUUUCAAGUUGCCCUUCCUGGAGCCGCCUGCGCAGGUUUCUAGGCGGCCCUCUUUUGGAAGCUGGAGCUCCGCGGGGGGAGGAGGGAAGAGUGAGAUGGAAAGAAAGGAACGAAAAUAGCCGGAGCCGAGGGGAACGAGCGGCGGUGUCCGCGGUUGGAGCAGGGCGCGCAGGUCUCAGUGGCGGCCGGGGCGGCGGGAGGCUCCCGGUGCAGCCCCGGGACGGCCGGGAGCAAAGACGGAGAGGAGAGGGGGGUUAGAGAAAGGAGCACAGGAAUUAUUCAAGGCUGGUUUCGGUUCUCUUCUGGCGACGACCGCAUCUUCGUACUCAAGGCACAGAUUACGGGUCAGCUCAAUUCGCCAGCGGCCGGAGGCUGCCUCCAAGCACCGAGCAGGACGGGAGGGAUGCUCUGCAAGCCGCGUCCGGCUGGAGGCGGCGGAGGCCUGAACGGGUCAUGGUCCCCGAAGUCACUAGGGACAGGGGACGUGGAUGGAAUAUAAGAGGGGAGAUCGACAGUCAAUCCCACCUCUGUCCCUUUCCGCCUGUGACCCCGGUCAGCUCAGUCUUCUCAUCUGUGACAUGGGCGUUGACACGAGUGUUCAGCAUGGGAACCCACCCCCGUCGUCUUCCACUGGUGCUGUCACCCGCGGCCUGGCUGAGCCGGGCACAGUGGGAGCCUCUGCAGGGCCCAGGGAAGGGGCAUGGCGGUGCCGAAGGACACGAGAAAUGGAAAGAGAGGGUUCAGCCACUCUGGCCUCCCAGGGGCGGCGAUGUGAGAACACGGCCCCAAGAUCCUUUGACGCUCCUCCUGUGGAAAGGUGGGGUUCCCGUUCCCUCCCCUUGAUGCUGGCCUCCAUGGCAGAAGGUGACGGAGUCGACAGUCCUCCCAGAACUGCCAGCUCCUGCUUUUUGCCUCUUGGGUGCUCCCUCUUGGAACCCAGCCGCCAUGCUGCGAGGAAGCCCAGAGGUCCCGAGGACAGGCCCGCGUGGAAGGCCCGGUUGUGCGUGUGUGUGUGUGUGUGUGAGCUCCUCAGAAAAGGGCAUCCAGCCCCAGUAGGUGCCCCAGCAGACGCCACGUGGAGCGGGGGUGAGCUGACCCUGCCAAGAUCGGCCCAAAUUGCAGAUUCACAAGCAAAUAAAUAAUUGUCGUCAUUGUGAGCCAGGAGCAUUGGGGUGGUGUGUUACACGGCAAUAGGUGACUAAAACGCAAGGUUCAGCUGAAAAGAGUUUCUGAGAACAUGCUUCAGGGACCUCCCAUGGGAGGUCCAGCAGUCACACGCACGUCCCAAACCUGCCCCCAUGAGCACCACUGCAGUGGUAGCUGGUACAUUUUCUUUUCUUUUUUUUAAAGUUAAUUUAAUUGCUUUUUUCUUUUGAAGAAGAAGAUUAGCCCUGAGCUAACAUCUGCUGCCAAUCCUCCUCUUUUUUUUUUGCUGAAGAAGACUGGUUCCGAGCUAACAUCCAUGCCCACCUUCCUCUACUUUAUAUGUAGGGUGCCUGCCACAGCAUGGCGUGCCAAGCAGUGCCAUGUCUGCACCCGGGAUCCCAACCGGCAAACCCCGGGCCGCCGAAGGGAACGUGCACACUUAACCGCUGUGCCACCGGGCGGGCCCAGCUGGUGAAUUUUCAACAACAGGUUCUCGGGGGUGGACGGGAGGGAAGCCCUGAUUUGUAGCAUCCACCGGUCUCUGUGGUGUAAAUAGUCCCGCCUUCGAGCUGCCACUGGACGCAGAGUUGGGAAGGGCCGGGCAGUGACGCGCCAUCAUAUACUAUUUCUACUGUACGGAUACAAUCAACAUAAACAGCCUCGAAAGCGUAGACGAGACUAAACUGUGGGAAAAUAAUUCGGAAAUGGUGAGGUUUGAGUCUUUCCCGCCUUUGUUUUCCAUAUAGUUCAUUUAACGUUAAGUUUUUAUCAUCUAAUGUUUAAUAACAGCCGCGUUUGGCAACCUGUUUACAAGAUUCCUGAAAAUUCCAGGCGGCUCUCCCAAGCUGGUGGGAGCCCGUUCCCGCACAGCCCUGGGUGGGGGCUGUUCAGCCACUUGCAGGACAGACCCAGCCCCGUCUCCCGAGCUUGCAGCUCAGUGAGGCGUCUUGAGUUUCAUUAAACCCAGAUUCCCCCAGACAGAGGGCAGGGGGUGGGCGAUGGAACCGGCCGUCGGUCUGCCCCAGGUCCCCACUUAGGUCUAGGAAUGCCCCUUCCACAGGGUCCAGCCCCGAGGACCAGGCCCCCUAUCCAGAGAGCUCCGUGGGGACAGGCGAGGAAGAGGAACCAGCAGGCUCCAUGCUGUCUGAGGCUUCUCCUAGGAAGAUUUGAGCCUUGGGGUGACGAGGCUGGGGGGCUGGAACCCUCCGGAGUCUCCUUCACUCACACGUCUGGUGGCGGACGCUGGCCGUUGGCUGGGACCUCAGCCAGAGCUGUGGGCUGGAACACCUACGUGGCCUCUCCGUGUGGCGGGGGCUUCCUCGCAGCGUGGCGGUCUCAGCUCUCCCAUGGAAGUUCAAGGUCCCAAAAGCGAGCAUCUCGGAACGAAGCUGGACCACCUUUUCUGACGGCCUCACCUCGUGUGAUGGCUGAGCUCUGUCUCCCCAAAUUUAUAUACUGAACAGCUCACCCCGGCACCUCAGAAGGCAGCCGUAUUGGGAAACAGGGUCUUUACAGAUGCAACUCGUUCAGAGGAGUCGUCCUGGAGUAGCGUGGACCCCUAAUUCAAUAUGACCGACGUCCUUGUGAAAAGGGGAAAUUCGGACGCAGAGACAGACACACACAAAGGAAGAGAGUGGAGGUGAAAGCAAAGAUCAGAAGGAUGCUUCCAAAAGCAUCAAAAGCAUCCUCCCUUCCUACGUGGUCCUCCCUUCUAGAUUCUUCUAGAAUCUUGCCAUGCCUCCAAUCGAGAGGUGGGAUCCUUGCCCCCUCCUCUGGAAUCUGGGUUUCUGGCUUGCUCGUACAAGUGGAAUAACCCAUUGAGUGACUUCUAUGGCGGCUGCUGCCUUGUUCUCUGGGACACCACCUGUUGAGUCCUGAGCCGCCAUGAGGACAUCCCACACCCUGCGGCCGCCAUGUUGUGAGGAAGCCAAGGCCACACAGAGAGGCCACAAGUAGGCGUCCUCCUCAACAGCCCCAGGUGUCCUCCCAGCCAGCUGCCAGACGUGUGUGGGAAAAUGCUUUCAUGUGGUUCUCAUCACCCCAGCCUUUUUUUUUUUUUUUUUGAGGAAGAUUAGCCCUGAGCUAACAUCCAUGCCCAUCUUCCUCUACUUUAUAUGUGGGACUCCUACCACAGCAUGGCUUGACGAGCGGUGCCAUGUCCAUGCCCAGGAUCUGAACCGGCGAACCCUGGGCUGCCGAUGUGGAACGUGCGCACGUGACCUCUGCGCCACGGGGCCGGCCCCUCACCCCAGCCUUUGAGUCAUCCCAGGUGAGGCCCCAGUCAUCAAGGACGGGAAACAAGUCAUCUCCACUGUGCUCUUCCCAAACGUUGGGCCCAGAGAAUCCACGAGUGGAAUAAAAUGGUGGCUUUCAGGCCCGAGGUGCGGGGUCAUUU